ACAGUCGGAAGAAGGUGCGCUAUCGCCGCGAUGGGUACUGCUGGAAGAAGCGGAAGGAUGGCAAGACAACGCGCGAGGACCAUAUGAAACUGAAAGUACAAGGCACAGAAAAGUUAAUUAAACUACACUCGGACCGCGGACGGAAAAGAAGUGGAUAUUUAGUAGUGAUGAAAGGAAUUGCUGUUUGGUCGUUCUUUCUGGCUGGCGCAAGUUUAUAUGUACCUUGGCGUGCUACCCCUUCAGGAGGAGUAGUCAAUUUUUUCUUUACUUUGUUUUUUUUUUGGAAAAACUUUUGAAUUUUUGUUACGAGAUUUAUUAUUAUUUAAUAAAAAUGUGAUCUAUAAUAUGAAUUGAA
Molecule: long non-coding RNA, 355 nt
Organism: Dalotia coriaria
Lineage: Eukaryota; Metazoa; Arthropoda; Insecta; Coleoptera; Staphylinidae
Exons: 2
Source: RefSeq, a predicted model, not a curated record